AUAAGAAACUGGGGUUUUAAAAGCAAAAUAAAUGCUCAAAACAGAUCAAUGUUGACUUUCUCAGUAAAUACAUAGCUUUGAAGUGAUAUUAAAUGCUUUUUUCAUUUUGUUGUAUUCAUAUUGAUGUUUUCUCUCUAAAUACUGGUCAACUCUAGUCAACCUCAAGCAAUCGGGGCAAGGAUAAUCUCGACUGUAUAGCGACGUCAGAGAGUGAAUUUACUGUCACGGAAAACGUUUCUAAACACGUUUUUUUAAAGUGGUGCUUUGGCGGGAGAGGUGUGUGAAGGGAACAUAUAUACUUCCAACUUCUACGAAUACUCUGUCUACUGCGAUAAUGGCUGCUGUGGGUCCUACUAUUCCUUACAGUGUUGCCCUUCAUAUGUCGGUCUCAUUGUUGGAGCAGUGACUGGAGGUCUGUGUUUCAUCGGAGGUAUUGUGUUUCUAAUCUGCUUGUGUCACCAUUGUAACAAGAAAAAGACGUCAGUCGGAACGGUGAUUUCAAACCAGCCCGCAGGCGUAAACACAACAGUCGUAGGUACAACCCAACAAGGAGUGUAUUACCAACAAGGAGUAGCACAACAACCGGUUGCCUACCCACCACCAGGUCCUAACCAGACACCAAUGGCAGCCUACCCACCACCAGGUUCUAAUCAGACACCGAUGAUAGCUUUCCAAGCACCGCCACCAGCCUACCCAGCACCGCCACCAGCCUACCCAGCACCGCCACAAGCCUACCCAGCACCGCCACAAGCCUACCCUCCCCCGGCAGCGGGCCAGUCUAAUCCUUCCUCACUAGAUCAACAAUAUCCGGAAAAGCAUUAAAUACGCAAAACCAUAUACAUUUCUUUUGAACGUUUGAAAAUAUUUUUGUAUUGAUUAUUGAUUUAUGUUUUUGAAAAGAGUCCAUACUACAUCAAUAUUAGUUUACUUUCUGGUUCAAAUCAAAGUAUAUAUCUGUGAUAUUUAUUCUUAUAGUAUUUGCAAAUUUUACUAGAAAUUUGAACAUUCGCAAGUGUGCAUGUCUUUGUGUAUUGAUUGGAAAGUCUGUUUUAACUAAAGGUGUUUUUAUUCGUAUUUUUGUAAUAUGAAGUUAAAAAAAAUCUCUGACAAAAGCGAUGAGAUAAGAUGGAAUGUUUAAUCACAAAUUUUAUCAAGUACGUACCUUUCUUAAAGCCCAAUGAUUUGUAACCGUUUACAUACCUAUAUUUCUUUGAUACACAACGAAUUGUAUUCUAUGAUAAUCAAUUCAAGAAAUGGAGUAAUGGCCCUCAAGGGUUUCGUAAUACGAAAUCCUGUAGGGUCAUACCAUCCCGUAUACCCUGCCAAAAAUCCGUGUAACGAAUUUAUUACCCCUUUGUGUCUUUUAUA
This is a long non-coding RNA of Mizuhopecten yessoensis (Yesso scallop), 1368 nucleotides long. RefSeq lists it as uncharacterized. The record is from RefSeq and is a predicted model, not a curated record. Lineage: Eukaryota; Metazoa; Mollusca; Bivalvia; Pectinida; Pectinidae. The transcript has 4 exons.